UACGAAGGGUGCAAGCGUUACUCGGAAUUACUGGGCGUAAAGCGUGCGUAGGUGGUUCGUUAAGUCUGAUGUGAAAGCCCUGGGCUCAACCUGGGAAUGGCAUUGGAUACUGGCGACCUAGAGUGCGGUAGAGGGGUGUGGAAUUCCCGGUGUAGCAGUGAAAUGCGUAGAUAUUCGGAGGAACACCAGUGGCGAAGGCGACUUGCUGGAUCUUUGCUGACGCUGAGACGCGAAAGCGUGGGGAGCAAACAGG
This 253-nucleotide ribosomal RNA is filed under the name uncultured bacterium. RNAcentral's name for it is "partial 16S ribosomal RNA". It matches the Rfam family "Bacterial small subunit ribosomal RNA", at positions 524 to 776 of the family's 1533-position model. The record is from RNAcentral.